Long non-coding RNA from Daphnia carinata, 1871 nucleotides. RefSeq lists it as uncharacterized. The transcript is spliced from 10 exons. The record is from RefSeq and is a predicted model, not a curated record. Lineage: Eukaryota; Metazoa; Arthropoda; Branchiopoda; Diplostraca; Daphniidae.
GUUGUAAUCGAUGUUUCUGCCAUUCAAACCUUUCUUGCCACUGGAUUCAAUUUCAAGACAAAUGGCAGUAAAAAUUGCUAUAGCGUUGGCAGUUAAGUUUAGCCAUUUCAAUAAAUCAUCUUCUGGAAUUCGUUUCAGUAAAAUGCAACAUUGCUAAAUGCCAGCAAAUCAGGAGUUACUUUCCCGUCACUGGUACGAUACAGCCUCCUAGUUCCAAGAUGGCGGACAACGUUUUCAGAGCUGAAGAGUUCAGACACAUCUUUAAGCGUGCGCCACGCUCUUGCUUAUCAACAUUUCACAUUUCUUUGAACCGUGCUAUGAACGUCAACGAUGAGAUUCUAUGGGAAGCAAAAAAAAAAAUCGUUAAUAAUACCAGAAGUUGUAAUUUUACUACUGCACACUUAUGUUGCGAAAAUUGGGUAUCCCAAUUUGAACAGGAAGCUUUUGAACACUGGAAAGCUGAAAUUAUAAGAAGACACUGGCGAGUGUAACAUCUCCGAAAAAGGUAAAAGAUUGAAGUUAGUUCAAUUCUUUAAUAUGCUUCUUAGUUACACCAAUUAAGAUUGUUUUUGCAGCAUGGUCUUUUCUUGUUUUAGCAAGGCACACAUUUCCUGCACAGAGUGGUAUUACAGGCAAAGUGCCAAAUUUUUUAAUGGACUAACUCCUAUGCCCCAUCCAACAAUGAACUAUCGCAAUGUGAAGUCGAAAGUUAUUGACAUUGACACAAUUUGGUUAUUUCAUCUUACCUCACUAAGUUAAACAGGUUGUUUCCAGUUGGGUUAGAAAUGCCAUUUGUUGGCAGCAUGGAUGGAAUGUGGUGUGCAGUCCUUUACACAAGUACUACAGAACAAAACCGUAUUUUUGUUUGUUGAAGGACGAGCAUAAUAAAUACCCAAUAAAGACAAUUGAAGAUGGCCAGAAGAUAUGCACUGGUGUUAAUUAGGCUGUCCAUGGAUUUCCCUAAGGAUACUUCUUAUUUAUACCAGGAGACGGUGCUGGGAAACAAGUGCAGUUCGAUGUCCAGAGAUGUUUCUGUGAAAAUGUCCAUACGCAAACAAUGUGCUGCGGAUGUGAAUCACCACCAGAUGCCGCGCAUGGCUGUGGGUGCGAGUUACGGCUAGGUGGCGGUACUGUUAUUCUACGCUCGGACGUCAAUGCAUUCAAGUCUAGAAGUGUCUUGGGAUGUCAGUGUGGUAACAAACCAGUUACAGCUACUUGAACAAUCGGGCGCUGUAAAAUGGUGUCAAAUACCGGAAUGGUCUGUGUUAGGGUACAGAUGAGCCACUAGAUUUUAACACGUGCAGGUCCCCGGGUUUCUGCAGCCGUCAUUACCCCUGGAAUUCUCCAUCAGCUAGUAUACCUAGUGAAAUUUUUAACAUCGUUUUAUUAAUUGCGGCGCAUGUGGGACUUUCGGACUAAACAGUAUCACAGCCAGUGGGCAAUAAAGUGGCAAGACAUUAAAUUUUCGACACAGCAGUAGUUUAGUUUCAAAUUUCAGCACUCAAGGAUUACUGUUGGUCUUUGCUAGCUGAUCAUAAAAUGUUAUGUAGAUACAUAGCUUUGUUAGCCUGUGCGAAGAAUUGAUAGCAAAUAAUACUACUUUAGUUGUAGGUAAGUAUGGGUGUAGGAACACAACUUAUUGUUUGUAUUUUACAUUCUCGUCCGACUUUCAGACAUUGGAUGAUAUUCCUUUUAGUAAAAUAACAUUUAUUUACUUUAGUGUUUAGUUCCAGGUUACUGUUAAUCUGCUAGCUGAUUAACAAAGAUAUUUUGUUACUACAAAGCUUGGUUUCCUUGUUCCAAGAAUCGCAAACAGAAAAUGGUGAGGUUUUGGUGAAAGUGGCAAUAAAACAAUAAAUGUAUAAAAUAAA